This is a long non-coding RNA of Pieris napi, 504 nucleotides long. RefSeq lists it as uncharacterized. NCBI's taxonomy places the organism in Eukaryota, Metazoa, Arthropoda, Insecta, Lepidoptera, Pieridae. The transcript is spliced from 2 exons. The record is from RefSeq and is a predicted model, not a curated record.
UAGGUGAACAUUCUUAAUGCACUCAGACAUAUAAUCCACUCCUGUCCAUAUCACGCGAUUGGCUCAACAAGCAAGAACCGACACGCCAGAAUGUCUUGUUAGACACUAGGCGGAAAUUAUGAUAUCAUUAAUUUUCGUUGACAUUUGCCAAUUGUCCCUCUGUCCAAAUAAAUCUAUGAAACUUUGGUACAGGAAACAAUUGAUAAUGCAAUGAUGUAGUGACUAAGCCGUGACUCAUACAUUCGACGUAGUUUCAAGUUUGUGCCUUGUGUUGUUAUUUGUGUUUCUUAUGGAAUGUUGCUGAGGCUAACAGUCAUGUGGUUCGUGUGUGUGUGUGCAAGAAUCCUUGAAACGACAAACUCGCCAACCAUAGAAGAGGUGUCCACGGUGACAAAGGAGAAAUGUGAUUUGGAGACAAAUAAUUUUUGCGGUAUCUUUAAUAACACGAAUCCUCAACAUCAGUUUUAUAAUCAAGGAUGAUUUAAUAAAAUUUGUUUUUUUUAA